Molecule: long non-coding RNA, 511 nt
Organism: Salvia splendens (bonfire salvia)
Lineage: Eukaryota; Viridiplantae; Streptophyta; Magnoliopsida; Lamiales; Lamiaceae
Exons: 2
Source: RefSeq, a predicted model, not a curated record
GCCGCCUCUGCAUUCAUGUCUUUCUCUUCUCAUUUCUUCAAUUCUCCAUCUUAUAUUGAUUAGUUCUGAUCUUGGACAAGCUUAUAGCAAAUUCCAUAAAUUUCUCAGUUUUUGUUGAAUUUUAAUUUAUCUAUGGUUUGUGCUCUUCAUAUUAAUUAGGGGUUUUCUCGGUGAGAAGAUUGAGAUGAUGAUGAUGAUGAUGAUGAUGAUGACAUGGAUUGGUGAGGUGAAACAAUUGCACCGGAAACGGCAAGAGGUUUGCAGCUUCGAUCAUUUCCUGUAUGUUACUCCAUGUAUUUAAUCAUCUAUUUGCAGGGCACUGAAUUGCUAUUAAUGAAUUUGUAUUUACAAAUAAUUUAUAUACAAUAAUACACCUCAUGUGUAGAUCAUGAGAUUGAUCUCAGUUUGGUAUUUUGUUUCAACAGUUUCUACGUUAUUUUUGCAUGUGAUGUCCAUAUCGUGUAUAUUUAGAAUGAUCGCCUAUCGAUUUUAUUGGAUUUGGUGCACGACU